UACGGAGGGUGCAAGCGUUGUCCGGAUUUAUUGGGUUUAAAGGGUGCGUAGGCGGUCUUUUAAGUCAGUGGUGAAAUCCUCCAGCUUAACUGGAGAACUGCCAUUGAUACUGGAAGACUUGAGUACAGACGAGGUAGGCGGAAUUGACAGUGUAGCGGUGAAAUGCAUAGAUAUUGUCAAGAACACCGAUUGCGAAGGCAGCUUACUAGACUGUAACUGACGCUGAGGCACGAAAGUGUGGGGAUCAAACAGG
This 253-nucleotide ribosomal RNA is filed under the name uncultured bacterium. Its description in RNAcentral is "partial 16S ribosomal RNA". It matches the Rfam family "Bacterial small subunit ribosomal RNA", at positions 524 to 776 of the family's 1533-position model. The record is from RNAcentral.